Molecule: small RNA, 468 nt
Filed under: Colletotrichum truncatum
Lineage: Eukaryota; Fungi; Ascomycota; Sordariomycetes; Glomerellales; Glomerellaceae
Description: eukaryotic LSU rRNA
Rfam family: 5.8S ribosomal RNA (bases 93-246)
Source: RNAcentral
CCCUCUCCCGUCCGCGGGUGGGGCGCCCGCCGGAGGAUAACCAAACUCUGAUUUAACGACGUUUCUUCUGAGUGACACAAGCAAAUAAUCAAAACUUUUAACAACGGAUCUCUUGGUUCUGGCAUCGAUGAAGAACGCAGCGAAAUGCGAUAAGUAAUGUGAAUUGCAGAAUUCAGUGAAUCAUCGAAUCUUUGAACGCACAUUGCGCCCGCCAGCAUUCUGGCGGGCAUGCCUGUUCGAGCGUCAUUUCAACCCUCAAGCUCUGCUUGGUGUUGGGGCUCUACGGUUGACGUAGGCCCUUAAAGGUAGUGGCGGACCCUCUCGGAGCCUCCUUUGCGUAGUAACAUUUCGUCUCGCAUUGGGAUUCGGAGGGACUCUAGCCGUAAAACCCCCAAUUUUACUAAGGUUGACCUCGGAUCAGGUAGGAAUACCCGCUGAACUUAAGCAUAUCAAUAAGCGGAGGAAUCU